RNAcentral lists this long non-coding RNA (1336 nucleotides) under Homo sapiens (human). RNAcentral describes it as "HSALNT0394880". Lineage: Eukaryota; Metazoa; Chordata; Mammalia; Primates; Hominidae. The record is from RNAcentral.
AAGAGUAAUUUUUAAAGUCUUCCAUUGAAAGUUCCAUAUAUUUUAAACACAAAAAGAAAUAGCCUAGCAUACAAACAUUCUAGGGAUUCCCAAAUAAUUUCUCUAAUAGCAGAGAUCUCUGAUGUGCAAGUGGCCAGCGUGUUCCCAAAAUAUAAGCACUUCUAAUCUUGGCAAACUUGUCCUUGAGAUGCCAAUGUUGACUGGUGACUAUCCACAGGCAGGGCUAGAAAAGGGAGUGGAACAUUUUACUUAGGCAGGAAGCACUGAAGAGAAGAAUCUUUUUUUCAGUAGACAUUUGUGGGAAAUAAAAAUUUGUUUAGAAGAAUUUAGGCCAAGAGAUAAAAUGGUCUUCUUUUGACUGAGGAGAGAUAAGAUAGAUUUUAAGCAGACAUCUGAAGUUAAAGGUGAGAGAAGGAAGAUAAACUGGGUGAUUUUGCUCACCUAAGAAGGUACACAGAUCCAAAGAAAAAGAGAUUCGAGAGGUGUCUCCAGCUUCUGAUUUUGAUGACAUCUCCCAGAGAGGACCGUGUUGCCAUCACCAUCCCAGAGUCUGAAAGUGUCCAGGAGUUGUGUUUUCCUGAUUCUUCAUGGUCCAUGUAGAUGUGUUGAUGUCUGUGCAACUGAAGGAACAAUCACCUCUUCCAGUAUUUAUAGACUGCUUUUUGCAGAAUACAUUAUCUUUUGUUUUAUGCUGAAGUAGAGUGCAGCAAGCAAAAAGCAGCAAAAGACACAUAAUCAAAGUACUUGGAAUGCUGACUGUAAAAUUAUGCUGAGAACUGGCUGCAUGAUAAGAUGCUUUUCCUUCCUCUUUGUUAUUUGUAUUAUUUUGUAAAGAUAGGCCAGUGUGAGUAUGUCCAAAUAAGCUAAUAAUCUAUUUCCCUUAAAAUUUCAGCAAAUAUUCAAGAGAAUAAAAAUGUAAGUUAUUGUCCACACAGCUAAUGUUAAUUUUUCAUUAACAUAAUUUAAGUCUCGGUGAUAGUUUGAAAAUGUUCAUAAUGUUCAUUAUCUAAUAAAAUAGAUAAUUGUGGAAUUAUCUAACUCGUAGAAGAUUAAUUGUGGAAGAGUUGUUUGUAUAUUUGUAACUGUCUCGUUUUUAGUAAAACCAAUUUUUUUUUCUGAGUUAAAAUAUUAAACAAUGAAAAAGUAAACUCAAUAAAUGUAAUUCAGUGCCUUGCAUAAUAGAAAAAUGUUAACAAGGUAAAAGCUGUUAAAAUUGGGAUGGUUUCAAAUUUUAAUGUGAAAAUUUCUGUGAUAAUUUAAUCUGCUAAUAUAAUGUUUAACUCUAGAUCUCUUUCUUGUGACAUGGCUCGAUGCAAUUUAGGUUGCUGUCAUUAAA